GUUUUUAUUUGAAAUAAUAGGCGCUCCGCUGGUGUCGCCAUUUUGAAACGGGCUGGCCACUUCGGUCUCAAACAGACCUGCCGAUUAUGGCCGAGCUCUGGGACUCGCUCAUUUCGCCUUUUGGCCAAUUCUGAAAGUUUGCUGUUCGAAUCCUUUAUUCAACCUAACACUGGGUGACUGCUAGCAGCAUGUAACUCUUCAUGGAGGACGCGGAGACGACUGCAAUUUUAUCAUUUGACGUGAUCCCCUACGGGCUGCUGGGCUACAGACAUUGAGGCUCUGGUAACUUGGGUUAUACUGUGACAUAUAAAAGGGUCUAUGUUUCUUUGUUGAUUGUUUCUUUGUACCUGUAGCAUUGGAACGCUUCCUCUUGGUGUUGCUGUGCUGCGAGGGCAUUAAGCAUUCCUGCAAAGGACCAGACUAGCCACUGUUUUAGGUUUAUUUGAUAGGCUUUUGGUUUUGUUUUAUUAGUGCCCUGGUUGUUGCUAUGGGCUAAGUUGUAAGUGUCCAUCCAUGCAUCCAUCAUCUUCCGCUUAAUCCGGGGUCGGGUCGCGGGGCCAGCAGUCUCAGCAGGGAGGCCCAGACUUCCCUCUCCCCGGCCACUUCAUCCAGCUCCUCUGGGGGGAUCCCGAGGCGUUAGUUGGGCCUCCUGAGCUGAGAGCUGUGCGUGCCGAUCUGACCUUACUAUCUGGAGGAUAGUCAGCUGCCCCCCCCCCCCC
This is a long non-coding RNA of Brienomyrus brachyistius, 719 nucleotides long. RefSeq lists it as uncharacterized. The record is from RefSeq and is a predicted model, not a curated record. The transcript is spliced from 3 exons. Lineage: Eukaryota; Metazoa; Chordata; Actinopteri; Osteoglossiformes; Mormyridae.